Molecule: ribosomal RNA, 1243 nt
Filed under: Candidatus Phytoplasma phoenicium
Lineage: Bacteria; Bacillati; Mycoplasmatota; Mollicutes; Acholeplasmatales; Acholeplasmataceae
Description: bacterial SSU rRNA
Rfam family: Bacterial small subunit ribosomal RNA
Source: RNAcentral
AGUUGCUAAGACAGGAUAGGAAAUUAAGAGGCAUCUUUUAAUUUUUAAAAGACCUUUUUCGAAAGGUAUACUUAAAGAGGGGCUUGCGCCACAUUAGUUAGUUGGUAAGGUAAAGGCUUACCAAGACGAUGAUGUGUAGCUGGACUGAGAGGUCGAACAGCCACAUUGGGACUGAGACACGGCCCAAACUCCUACGGGAGGCAGCAGUAAGGAAUUUUUGGCAAUGGAGGAAACUCUGACCGAGCGACGUCGCGUGAACAAUGAAGUACUUCGGUAUGUAAAGUUCUUUUAUUGAAAAAGAAAAAAUAGUGGAAAAACUAUCUUGACAUUAUUCAAUGAAUAAGCCCCGGCUAAUUAUGUGCCAGCAGCCGCGGUAAUACAUAAGGGGCGAGCGUUAUCCGGAAUUAUUGGGCGUAAAGGGUGCGUAGGCGGUUUGAUAAGUCUAUAGUUUAAAUGCAGUGCUUAACGCUGUAGCGCUAUAGAAACUGUCUGACUAGAGUUAGAUAGAGGCAAGCGGAAUUCCAUGUGUAGCGGUAAAAUGCGUAAAUAUAUGGAGGAACACCAGAGGCGUAGGCGGCUUGCUGGGUCUUAACUGACGCUGAGGCACGAAAGCGUGGGGAGCAAACAGGAUUAGAUACCCUGGUAGUCCACGCCGUAAACGAUGAGUACUAAGUGUCGGGUUUCGGCUCGGUACUGAAGUUAACACAUUAAGUACUCCGCCUGAGUAGUACGUACGCAAGUAUGAAACUUAAAGGAAUUGACGGGACCCCGCACAAGCGGUGGAUCAUGUUGUUUAAUUCGAAGAUACACGAAAAACCUUACCAGGUCUUGACAUAAUUUUGCGACAUUAUAGAAAUAUAAUGAAGGUUAUCAGAAUUACAGGUGGUGCAUGGUUGUCGUCAGCUCGUGUCGUGAGAUGUUAGGUUAAGUCCUAAAACGAGCGCAACCCUUGUCGUUAGUUGCGACCACGUAAUGGUGAGCACUUUAGCGAGACUGCCAAUGAAAAAUUGGAGGAAGGUGAGGAUUACGUCAAAUCAUCAUGCCCCUUAUGAUCUGGGCUACAAACGUGAUACAAUGGCUGUUACAAAGAGUAGCUACAACGUGAGUUUUUAGCCAAUCUCAAAAAAACAGUCUCAGUUCGGAUUGAAGUCUGCAACUCGACUUCAUGAAGUUGGAAUCGCUAGUAAUCGCGAAUCAGCAUGUCGCGGUGAAUACGUUCUCGGGGUUUGUACACACCGCCCGU